RNAcentral lists this ribosomal RNA (449 nucleotides) under uncultured bacterium. RNAcentral's name for it is "bacterial SSU rRNA". It matches the Rfam family "Bacterial small subunit ribosomal RNA", at positions 328 to 794 of the family's 1533-position model. The record is from RNAcentral.
CGGCCAGACUCCUACGGGAGGCAGCAGUGGGGAAUAUUGCACAAUGGGGGAAACCCUGAUGCAGCGACGCCGCGUGAGCGAUGAAGUAUUUCGGUAUGUAAAGCUCUAUCAGCAGGGAAGAAGAUGACGGUACCUGACUAAGAAGCCCCGGCUAACUACGUGCCAGCAGCCGCGGUAAUACGUAGGUGGCAAGCGUUAUCCGGAUUUACUGGGUGUAAAGGGCGUGUAGGCGGGAAAGCAAGUCAGAUGUGAAGACCAUGGGCUCAACCUGUGGCCUGCAUUUGAAACUGUUUUUCUUGAGUACUGGAGAGGCAGGCGGAAUUCCUAGUGUAGCGGUGAAAUGCGUAGAUAUUAGGAGGAACACCAGUGGCGAAGGCGGUCUGCUGGACAGCAACUGACGCUGAGGCGCGAAAGCGUGGGGAGCAAACAGGAUUAGAUACCCCAGUAAU